UCUCAUUAUGUGAACUAUAUUCCAAUCUUUAUGUGCCAGUUGUUAUUUGUUUUCAGCCACCCAUUUCUGGUGCAUCCAUCCCUUUUAUCAUGCAGCUGGAUGCUGAAAUGCUUACCAUUGAGGUGAGCUAUUGUCUAGCAUGUUAGCUGAGAAUUAAGUUUUCACUAUCAGCUGCUAUCUGCUUUAAGGGAAAAGACCUAUCAGACUAGCAUCGUGUGAGGCUGCUUCCAGUUGAAUUUGGAUCAGAGUUGAGUAUUGUGGGCCACCACCUCUUCUGCUCUGAUUUUUGUGUGAGUCCUCAUUUGAUAGUACAAGGUAUUGUACAUGAGAAAAGAAGAGAGAAGUGGAGUUUGAAUCUACAUGGAAGGAUGAAACACAGUAACACACCUUCAUAGCUAGGACAUGACAUUCAAGAUUAUUUUGAAACAAUUGCACAUCAUUGUCAAAUCGUCCUCUGGUCAAUCUUCAUUGAUAUGGGCAAUUGUAUUAUGCAUUUAACAUUCAACUCUCAACUGUUCCCAGUGACUUUAACUAUGUUCCUGUUGGCAUGCGCAGAUCAUAAUUGUAAACAAUUAUUUUAUUUGUGUAAACACGUAGUAUUAAGUAACUUUUUUAGCUAACCAAAGUGGGAUAUAUGAUGGAAGAAAAGUCUAUAUUUUUCCAUUGGUCA
Molecule: long non-coding RNA, 670 nt
Organism: Macadamia integrifolia
Lineage: Eukaryota; Viridiplantae; Streptophyta; Magnoliopsida; Proteales; Proteaceae
Exons: 2
Source: RefSeq, a predicted model, not a curated record